AGUGAACGCUGGCGGUAGGCCUAACACAUGCCAGUCGAACGGCAGCACAGUAAGAGCUUGCUCUUACGGGUGGCGAGUGGCGGACGGGUGAGGAAUACAUCGGAAUCUACUUUUUCGUGGGGGAUAACGUAGGGAAACUUACGCUAAUACCGCAUACGACCUACGGGUGAAAGCAGGGGAUCUUCGGACCUUGCGCGAUUGAAUGAGCCGAUGUCGGAUUAGCUAGUUGGCGGGGUAAAGGCCCACCAAGGCGACGAUCCGUAGCUGGUCUGAGAGGAUGAACAGGCCAAAUGGAAAUGAGAAAACGGUCCGACUCCUAAGGGAGGCAAGAAGGGGGAAAAAUGGGAAAAGGGGGGAAAGCUGGACCAGCCAUACCGCGUGGGUGAAGAAGGCCUUCGGGUUGUAAAGCCCUUUUGUUGGGAAAGAAAAGCAGCAGGUUAAUACCCCGCUGUUCUGACGGUACCCAAAGAAUAAGCACCGGCUAACUUCGUG
This 492-nucleotide ribosomal RNA is filed under the name uncultured bacterium. RNAcentral describes it as "partial 16S ribosomal RNA". It matches the Rfam family "Bacterial small subunit ribosomal RNA", at positions 29 to 507 of the family's 1533-position model. The record is from RNAcentral.